CCUACGGGAGGCAGCAGUGAGGAAUAUUGGUCAAUGGGCGUAAGCCUGAACCAGCCAAGUCGCGUGAAGGAUGACGGUUCUAUGGAUCGUAAACCUCUUUUAUAAGGGGAUAAAGUCCGGGACGUGUACCGGUUUGUAUGUACCUUAUGAAUAAGGAUCGGCUAACUCCGUGCCAGCAGCCGCGGUAAUACGGAGGAUCCGAGCGUUAUCCGGAUUUAUUGGGUUUAAAGGGUGCGUAGGCGGCCUUUUAAGUCAGCGGUGAAAGUCUGUGGCUCAACCAUAGAAUUGCCGUUGACACUGGGAGGCUUGAGUAUGUUUGAGGUAGGCGGAAUGCGUGGUGUAGCGGUGAAAUGCUUAGAGAUCACGCAGAACCCCGAUUGCGAAGGCAGCUUACCAAGCCAUGACUGACGCUGAGGCACGAAAGCGUGGGGAUCAAACAGGAUUAGAUACCCCGGUAGUC
Molecule: ribosomal RNA, 460 nt
Filed under: uncultured bacterium
Lineage: Bacteria
Description: partial 16S ribosomal RNA
Rfam family: Bacterial small subunit ribosomal RNA
Source: RNAcentral